Molecule: RNA transcript, 1708 nt
Organism: Pyrus x bretschneideri (Chinese white pear)
Lineage: Eukaryota; Viridiplantae; Streptophyta; Magnoliopsida; Rosales; Rosaceae
Gene name: glucan endo-1,3-beta-glucosidase 11
Exons: 4
Source: RefSeq, a predicted model, not a curated record
UGCCCAUUCUCUCUCUCUCUCUCUCUCUCUCUCUCCCCUCAUUGUUGCCCAAUUUGGAGCUACCUGCAGCUACAUUCUUCCCUUUUCAGUCUCCAAGCUGAGCAGUGAGCUCCAAAAAUGGCAGCCACUAGCUUCCCCUACUUCUCUGCAAUUUUCCUUUCAAUUCUCAUCAUUUCAGGGUUCAUGGUUCCAGUAACGGUAAAUUCAAUGGGGAUAAACUACGGCCAAAUCGCCAACAACUUACCUUCUCCCGACGACGUCGUUCCGCUGGUGAAAUCCAUCGGCAUCUCCAAGAUCAAGCUCUACGACGCUGAUCCCAAAGUCCUCAAAGCCUUCGCCAACACCGGCGUCGAGUUCAUAGUGGGCCUCCCCAACGACUACCUUGCCAAGGUCCAGGACCCGGCCCAGGCCCAAUCCUGGGUCAAGUCCAAUGUCCAGGCCCAUCUCCCCGCCACCAACAUCACCUGCAUCUUCGUCGGCAACGAGGUCCUCACCUUCAACGACACGUCGUUGAGCAACAAUCUCCUCCCGGCAAUGCAGAGCGUCCACACCGCCCUCGUCGGUCUUGGCCUCGACAAGCAAGUCGCCGUCACCACCGCCCACUCCCUCUCCAUUCUCCAGACCUCGUAUCCGCCGUCCGCCGGCGCUUUCCGCCGAGAUCUGACCGGCUGCAUCACUCCGAUCCUCAAUUUCCACGCCAAAACCGGAUCGCCGUUCCUGAUCAAUGCCUACCCUUACUUCGCUUACAAAUCGAACCCUAAGCAAGUGCCGCUCGAGUACGUCCUCUUCCAGCCGAACUCCGGCUCCCUUGAUCCUGCCACCAAUCUCCACUACGACAACAUGCUGUUCGCCCAGAUCGACGCCGUGUACUCCGCCCUGGGUUCCCUCGGUUUCAAGAAGCUUCCGGUCCACAUCUCCGAGACCGGGUGGCCGUCGAAGGGGGACGAGGACGAGGCCGGAGCGACGCCGGAGAACGCGAAGAAGUACAACGGAAAUCUGAUCAAGCUCAUUUGCCAGAAGAAGGGCACGCCGCUCAGGCCCGGGUCGGAUCUCAACAUCUACGUGUUCGCCCUGUUCAAUGAGAACAUGAAACCCGGCCCGAGUUCAGAGAGGAACUUCGGGCUGUUUAAACCCGACGGGUCGCCCGCGUACUCGAUCGGGCUCUCGACGGGCAACAUUUCCUUUGGUAACUCUAAUUCGAGUUCGAGUUCGGGUUCGGGUUCGAGUUCGGGCCAGGGACAGGUAAAUCCGAUUAGUAAUGGUUGGUCGCCGUCGGGUUCUUCCGGCACGCCAUACUUGUCCAUUUCCUCCGCCCCCGCCACGGAGAGAUUCCAUGUGAUUGGUUGGAUUGCGAUGAUGUGGCUGGUGGCCUCGUUGUUGAUGAAAAGCUGAGAGCAAAAUAUCCAAAGUUGCUCCAGAUCAGAUCUCAAAAUCUGAAAGGACGGUGGAAAAGAGAGAAAAUAAAUAGAAGAGGUUACUUGGGAAUUAGGAACAAGGACAAUUAUUAUUUAUUUAUAAUUCAGUGUCUUAAUAACAACUCUAGUGGAUUAGGGUAGGAGGGUGAUUAGGGUUUAAUUAAAGUUUAAUGAUGGUGCUGAGGAGCGUUUUAGAAGGCAGAGGCUAGAGGGGAGGGGGCCCCACUUUUGUAUUUGUUCUUGUAAAAUAUUUUACCUUUCUCAUGUACUUAAAGAGUAUUUUUAUUACUGUA